Lates calcarifer (barramundi perch) is the source of this 1647-nucleotide long non-coding RNA. RefSeq lists it as uncharacterized. The record is from RefSeq and is a predicted model, not a curated record. NCBI's taxonomy places the organism in Eukaryota, Metazoa, Chordata, Actinopteri, Centropomidae. The transcript has 2 exons.
UAUGGUGAUGUUCUGUAUUAAAGUUAAGCGCACCUAACUUUUUUUUCAUGUUGCUGUUAAAAUUCAAAGAAGGUGAAUAUAGUCAAAAUACAAUAAUCCCCCCAACCCCACCCCAAACUGAUGUGAAACAAUUUAUUAAUGAUGUCAGGGAGUCCUAAAUGAUUGAGUGUUCAUCAUCACCGCCCUCCUCCUCCUCCUCCACCUCCUGGUCGUCAUCAUCAGAUCAGACUGUCAUGCUGCAUCCUUGGUACGUGCACAGCCACACUCAGCUCAUGGCAACACUGUACACAAGUGAGCCGAGUUCAACCACUUCGCACUGUAGGGGUAGGGGCGUCGUUUGUCAAUGCAGACUUCGGGCGCACAUAUCCCACCUCCCGUGGCAUCUGUCGCAUCGCGCGGCGUCUAUUUAAGGGUAAAGAAACCUGUGUCGCAUCGAAGUUUGCGAUAAAUAAUCAGUCAGGACAGGAAACCGUUGGCGGGUGAAUGGUUCAUUCCUAAUGUACGACGUGCAAAACUGAACGCGCCGCACCCCAACUAUAACUCUAAUAAUCGACUGAACUUGCUGGCCUCGCAAAACCCGCCUUCCCAGCGUUUUAAUUGGUCAACUCUCGCUGAUGGGCGGCUCGUGCAACUCCACCGGGGCAGCCCAUUGGUCGCGCGCGACGCCACUUUCCUUUCCAAUUUGCAUAACCAGGUCGGGUUGCAGAUGCAGGGGAGUGUGCAGGGGAAGGGGUAGUGCAAGUGAACUGAACUUCUGCGUCGGUGUAGGCUAUACUAUAUUCCUAAAUGCACCUAACUUUAAUCAGGCAGUGUGAUUUCUUUCAGAGAAAAAACAAUCUGGGUGUUCGGAGAGAUGGUAGACGGGGUGGUAUGGGUGGAAAUGGAAGAUUUUUUCUUUAAAAAUUAUUCCAAAAGAAAACUUGGGACUGAUUGUGUCCGCUUUAAGGUUGUCAGUGUGUCUGAGAUCUAAAAGCAGGUAAGCCACUGACUAACGCACAUUGAGCCAGUUGCCACUUCCACUGUGCGUGUGACAGCGGCUAACCUGUUUUUUGGGAGUACCUCUCAUGUUUUGGCUCGCCCGAGACCAGCCACAGCCGGACCAGACAAGACUCCUACAUAUGUAGAGUACAAGCAGUCCUCGAUCAUGUACCGUGCACAUUUGCUGGGACAGGGCCUGCUCGACAUGCCUGCCCUCCCAGUGGUCUCCAUGCGUACUACCUCCUUCUAUGCUCACACACUGUACCUUAUAUAGGGCCAGUAGCUUUUGCAUCGUCUCCUAUGGAGUCGACCUCUCUAAUGCCACCUACUGUCAAGACUAUUGGUGAGUUUUUUUGUUUCAGUUUCUGUUUCAUCUGUGCGGUUCAGACAAGAUAAUCAUUCUCAUAAUGACUGGCUUCCAAUUUGAGGUCAGGGGCCCUCCAGGGGUUCUGGAGGAGGACACUGAGCUUGUUUUUUUGAGAGGAAAAUGGGUAGAGAUAAUAAUACAGCAAUGUUUCCACCCCUUUAUAUUACUUUUCUAGUUAGUUACUUAGCCUUACAGUAGCACAAAUUUCAGCUCUAAGUAAGAAAACCCAGAUCAGCUGUAUCCAUGGUAUAUGUUUGUAAAAAGUGUCCUUAAAGUCAGAAGUAAAGUUUCUACUCAAAUCA